UCUGUGUCUGUUGAUGAAGAAGUGAUGAAACAAAUAAUGAUAAUUUUAAACAUACGCAGAUUACAGACACAGCUUCAAAAGGAGCAUCUGGCUUCAAGUAAAUAUCGCCCUCUGCUGUUCAACCCACAAAAAAAGUUUUAUUAAAGCUUUGUUUGCAUAUGUCCAAUAUGUGACCAAUCUCCUGAAGACCGCACUUUAUCCUGUGUCUUUUAAUGUACUCCAGGAAAAAGAUUUUACAAUACGGGCCAGGCAUUUUCCAGUCUACACUUCUUUUUCCUGCUUGGCAUGUCCCCCGCCUGCAGUAUAGUCUAUCACACUUGUGUUGCUGUAUAAUAUGAGAGAGCGGUGAAGCCCAUUUUUGGAGGAUUGGUCCCAGAUUGCACAUUUAUAGAAAAUUACCACUUCCCUAACUGUGUUGGGGUAAUUAUUAGAAAGUAAAUUAUAUUAAAAAUGCCCCCAGGCAGUAACAGCAGAUUUUUUAAUUAUAAAAAAAAAUACUUUUUAUUUU
Long non-coding RNA from Rana temporaria (common frog), 508 nucleotides. RefSeq lists it as uncharacterized. The transcript has 3 exons. The record is from RefSeq and is a predicted model, not a curated record. NCBI's taxonomy places the organism in Eukaryota, Metazoa, Chordata, Amphibia, Anura, Ranidae.